Lycium barbarum (goji berry) is the source of this 575-nucleotide long non-coding RNA. RefSeq lists it as uncharacterized. The transcript is spliced from 3 exons. The record is from RefSeq and is a predicted model, not a curated record. Lineage: Eukaryota; Viridiplantae; Streptophyta; Magnoliopsida; Solanales; Solanaceae.
AUUAAAUUCUAAAGGUGAUUUACAAGUUCAAGGAGAUAAUAGCAACAUUGGAUAGUGAAUCGGGGAUAAGGAAAUUGCAAAAUUGGAGCAAUUAAGAGUAGAAAUUCCUCCGAGAAAAUUAAGGUUUAUCAUAUUAAUUGUGGAAGUUCUUGGCUGGACUGAGCUCUUGAACGACGUAAGGUACAGAUGCUCACGUUGGUAACCCGCCAGCUUAGGAGUCCUAUUCAGCUAUCUUGGAGAGCUCCCUUGUUCCGGAGCCUUGAUUUUGGUACAGAAUCUCUUGUGGUGUAUAUGUAUUUUAUCCAGGGGUACGGCGGGGCCCUGUCCCGUCAUAUGAUAAUGUUGUUACUCUUAGAGGUCUGUAGACAUAUGUGUGGGUUGUGUAUCGAUGUUGUUCAGUUGUGUCUAUAUGGCUUAUGUUUUGGGACGUUCCCAUUCGUAGUGGCAGCCUUGUCGGCUUGCGUAGAUAUAUAUAUGUUUUGAGAAGUAAUGUGUUACGAUAGCCUUGUCGGCUCGUUUAUGGCGGGGAUGUUCCCUUAUAUAUUAUGAAAUCCUUGUCGGCUUAUGUACUAUAA